Molecule: long non-coding RNA, 289 nt
Organism: Sitodiplosis mosellana (orange wheat blossom midge)
Lineage: Eukaryota; Metazoa; Arthropoda; Insecta; Diptera; Cecidomyiidae
Exons: 3
Source: RefSeq, a predicted model, not a curated record
UGAGAAAUAACGUGAUCAAUUUUGAACAUUUCGCAUUGAGUGGAACGUGAAGGCCUUGGAAUGAGUACGAGCAAUGCUUGAUCGACGAAUCAUCAUAUCGCGUGACAAAAAUUUCAAGUCAUCGUUCGAAUUUUGGAGGAAGAAAGAAGGGAAAAAAAUGAACGCACACAUUCACAAAAGCAAACUUCGAACCAUAAGGGUGCCAGUCAGAAUGAAUGUUCAAACAUUUCGAAAUCAUUUCUUUUCACAAUAUAAUGCGUAGACGGUGGCUAAUCCAAUCGAGAACGGG